Molecule: ribosomal RNA, 296 nt
Filed under: uncultured bacterium
Lineage: Bacteria
Description: partial 16S ribosomal RNA
Rfam family: Bacterial small subunit ribosomal RNA
Source: RNAcentral
GUAGUCCACGCCGUAAACGAUGGAUGCUAGCUGUCGGAAGUAUCGACCCUUUCGGUAGCGAAGCUAACGCGUUAAGCAUCCCGCCUGGGGAGUACGGCCGCAAGGCUAAAACUCAAAGGAAUUGACGGGGACCCGCACAAGCGGUGGAGCGUGUGGUUUAAUUCGAGGCUACGCGAAGAACCUUACCAAGGUUUGACAUCCCAGGAAGUUUGCCGAAAGGCAGACGUGCCGCAAGGAACCUGGUGACAGGUGAUGCAUGGCCGUCGUCAGCUCGUGUCGUGAGAUGUCAGGUUAAG